This 492-nucleotide ribosomal RNA is filed under the name uncultured bacterium. Its description in RNAcentral is "partial 16S ribosomal RNA". It matches the Rfam family "Bacterial small subunit ribosomal RNA", at positions 29 to 507 of the family's 1533-position model. The record is from RNAcentral.
AGUGAACGCUGGCGGUAGGCCUAACACAUGCAAGUCGAACGGCAGCACAGUAAGAGCUUGCUCUUACGGGUGGCGAGUGGCGGACGGGUGAGGAAUACAUCGGAAUCUACUUUUUCGUGGGGGAUAACGUAGGGAAACUUACGCUAAUACCGCAUACGACCUACGGGUGAAAGCAGGGGAUCUUCGGACCUUGCGCGAUUGAAUGAGCCGAUGUCGGAUUAGCUAGUUGGCGAGGUAAAGGCCCACCAAGGCGACGAUACGUAGCUGGUCUGAGAGGAUGAUCAGCCACACUGGAACUGAGACACGGUCCAGACUCCUACGGGAGGCAGCAGUGGGGAAUAUUGGACAAUGGGCGCAAGCCUGAUCCAGCCAUACCGCGUGGGUGAAGAAGGCCUUCGGGUUGUAAAGCCCUUUUGUUGGGAAAGAAAAGCAGCAGGUUAAUACCCCGCUGUUCUGACGGUACCCAAAGAAUAAGCACCGGCUAACUUCGUG